Molecule: transfer RNA, 120 nt
Filed under: Cercospora zeae-maydis SCOH1-5
Lineage: Eukaryota; Fungi; Ascomycota; Dothideomycetes; Mycosphaerellales; Mycosphaerellaceae
Rfam family: tRNA
About the family: Transfer RNA (tRNA) molecules are approximately 80 nucleotides in length. Their secondary structure includes four short double-helical elements and three loops (D, anti-codon, and T loops). Further hydrogen bonds mediate the characteristic L-shaped molecular structure. tRNAs have two regions of fundamental functional importance: the anti-codon, which is responsible for specific mRNA codon recognition, and the 3' end, to which the tRNAs corresponding amino acid is attached (by aminoacyl-tRNA synthetases). tRNAs cope with the degeneracy of the genetic code in two manners: having more than one tRNA (with a specific anti-codon) for a particular amino acid; and 'wobble' base-pairing, i.e. permitting non-standard base-pairing at the 3rd anti-codon position.
Source: Rfam by way of RNAcentral
GCCCCUAUAGUAUAGUAGUAGCAUAACUAGCUAAUAUCGUACGUCGCAGCCUAGGCUCCACGGCUGCGAACUACGCAGCCUGCUAGCUAGAAGGCGAAGGUUCGAUUCCUUCUAGGGGUA